This 3290-nucleotide long non-coding RNA is filed under the name Homo sapiens (human). RNAcentral's name for it is "long intergenic non-protein coding RNA 2815, transcript variant 5 (LINC02815)". Lineage: Eukaryota; Metazoa; Chordata; Mammalia; Primates; Hominidae. The record is from RNAcentral.
AUUUCCUUAAAGGAGAGGCCUCCAGUGCACCUCGUCAGCUGCACUCAGCUCUUAAAUGCAGCUAUUCACAGAGGGCCCAGGCUCUCCCCUGCCCUGUGACACUACGUGGGACACACACCUCCACAGGGAAUUUGAAGAAUCUCCAGGAGGGCCAGAGAGUAGACUUGGAUGCCACCCAGCCAGCAAUAGAGAAGUUGGGACCACCCAGCCAGGGACAAGGCCACACCUCAGCCAUCACCACCCACAAGCAACGCAGCAUGUAUGAGCUGGGACAGGACACCAGAAACUACCUCAUGAUUGCUCCGGAAGAAGCAGCUGCAGCCUUUGGACGAACAGGUCCUAAAGAGCUAUGGAAACAGCAUCGUGGAAACAGCACGAUACAGUUAUUGAAUGACUGGUCUGGGCCAAGCAUUAUUCUCGGCGCUGGGGAUGCAGCAGGGGGCCUGGAUCAUACUCAAGGUCACUAGAUACUUGUUACAUGAGUGAAUGAAGUCAUUCAGUACUCAUUGGCUCCACUGGGCUCUGACUUGCUGGGCAUGACAAGCCCACCAGGGAGCCCUGGAUAUCCCUCCUCUUUCCAAGCAGCUGGGGAAGCUGGUUGCCCUGGAAACCUGUUUUAGGUGGCAGCAUCUUCCUCCAGGAGGUCGAGGUGUCUCCUGGACCUUAGAGACUCCAGGACACAGGACAGAGCUCUGAACUGUGGAGCCGGGAAACCUGGUUCCAGUCUCAGCCCAGAUUUACCAGCCGUAGACUUGGCCAAGUCACUCACAAAACCCAAAGGGUGAGGCAGAGCUGGCCCUGCCUGCAUGGCAGGGAGAUUUUGAGAAGCAUGAAGAGAGUCAGGAAGUGCCUGGGGAUCGAAUCCACCCAGCAGUGCAAGGCAUUGCUCUCCCAAUUCUCCAUUGGGAAAAAAAAAUCCAGACAAAGACAGUACAGAGAAUAUGGUAGCCAAUACUGCAGCAGUCACCACCCGGAAAAACAGACACUAAUAUAAUAACUUGUGAUUUUUGCUUCAUAUCUCUGUGGCAUAAAACCAUGACACAUAAAGUUUAUGUCCCCCUUUAACCAUUCCUCAAUGCUAUUCCCCUCCUCUCUCCCCCUCCUCAACGGCAACCACUGAUAUGUUCGCUCUAUUCUGUGCUUUUCAUAUUUUAAAUAUAUUGUUUAUGGGAAUGAUCAUAUAUAAGAAAUAUAUUAUACUGUUUGUUUUAAAAGUUUGCAUAAAUAAUAUCAAAGUAAAUUAUUUAAGUGUCCCCAGCAGUCCCUGUCCCCGUCCACCUUUCCCUCAGUUCUCUUCCAUCACAGUAAAGAAAACUGCCCAAACCUGGUCACCGCCCCUGGACUUUCGAAGUGGCUUCCUACUUGGGGUCCUGCUUCCAACAUUGGCCCUGUGAGUGACAAGGAUCUCAUUCCUUUUGUGCUCAAAGCUCUGGCCUCUCUCUCCCUCCUUGGCCUUGCCCAGCCCAGCCCCACCCCUGUCCUCAGAACCUCACACCUGUCGUUCCCCACCUGGGGUGCCCUUCCCGCUGGCUGGCCCCUCACCUCUCUCAGAUUUCUGCUCUAAUGACAGUAACUGGAGAGGCCUUGCCUGAAGUCCCCUCCUCUUUCUCCUUACCUUGCUUUUUGGUUAUGCAUCCUCCUCCUAAUUGCUUUAUUUAUUUAUGUGUUUAAUCACCAUCCUCUUACUUUUCUAAGGCUCGUCCUGAUUUUUUUCACAUCCUGGUAUCUGAGCCGGCAGUGAUUCUAUACCUGGCAGCAGCCUGUGCGGCAGAGCUGUGUGUAAAGGGGUCCAUGCAGAGCCCUGGGAGAAAGAAAAAUGAAGGGGAAAAGGUUGACCUGAGCUUUUUCACCUGGGGCUGGAAAGUGGACCAGAGCCUAUCAUUCCAACCUGCAGGUGCCUAAGGCCCAACAGAAAGUUCACCAGGAAAGACCAAGAGAAUUGGGGUGACCCUCCCACAGUAUCAGAGGGAAGGGGAGUGGGGAGGAGUACAGCAGUGCAGACCAGCCCCACAGGUGCUUAGCCAGGCCUUUGGUUCUGCCAGGGAAAGGAGGGUGCCUUCCACAGCAUGAAAACUACACCACGUCCCAAUGUGUCCGGGACCUGCCGCCAGCCGCCUGCACAGUAGUCAGGUGGAUGCCACCGGGAUACAGCCCACACUGACUCCUGACCCCAGGGGGUACAGCCCACGCUGACUCCUGACCCCAGGGGGUACAGCCCACGCUGACUCCUGACCCCAGGGGGUACAGCCCACAUUGACUCCUGACCCCGGGGGUUACAGCCCACACUGACUCCGGACCCCGGCGUGGGAGGGGCUGGCCCGAGAUGAAAUCUCGAAGGUGGGUCAGGCUAGGUCCUGGAGUCAGGGGAAGCGUGGGGUUCAGGCCAGGCCUGGGUUCUCCCUGAAGUGAGGCUGACUCUGAGCCUUUCUUGAAACCCCAAAUGUCACAGCAGUGCCCCGAAGGUAGGUGAGGCUCUGUUGCAGGGAAUGCUGAGGAAAAAGGGAACAUCAGGGAUUGGUCUGGCCUGAAGCCUGCACUCCCCUAAAUUAUACCCUGGUAUGAUUUGGGCUUGCCCUGGAGUUACCUCAACUAACCUGGGGUCCUUGGGGGAAACAGAGAUGGACAGGGUUGAUGUAUAUUUCGGGUUGAUUUGGACUCUAAGGAUUAUCCCAGCUCAGACCUCGCUCUCAAGGAAUAGGAGCCUGGCAUCUGUCUAUCACCCCCUUGGCCCUGGGUAUAGUCUGGAUGAGCAGAGGCACGCGUGUGGCCCCAAGAGUCCCACCCUCUGGCUCUCUCCUCCCAAGACAUUCUGGAGCCAUGACAUGUCUCCCAGGAAGGGAGAAUUAUUUUUGUCUGUGGCAUAAAUAAAGCCAGGAAUGAGUUCCAAUAAUCACAAGCACAUGCCAGCAUGUGGAGGCUACUCUGACAGCAGCAGAAGGUUCCAGCACUGCCUGCCCUGCUGGUCCUGGCUGCAGGGAGGUGACCGGGAUGGUCAGGGGUCGGGAGCAGGAGGGAGCCUCCAGGAUUUUAUUUAAAAUGAUCAGGUUUUUCAAACAAAUGGAAAAAUAAAAAAAUCUUGAAAACAAAUCUUUUAAAAAUUUACCCACUUCACUCCAGAUCUUAAGAAAUAAAAAUAAAACAUGACUAUUCCUCUAGAAUCCUGACCCAUACCAUACAACUCUCUUCCCAGAGGUCAUUGCCAACAUCGAUUUCUAUUUAUUUUUCUCAUGCUUGCUUUAAUAUUUCUACUAUAUAUGUAUGCAUCUAUAAAUAAACUCUAUGUGACAUUG